This 667-nucleotide ribosomal RNA is filed under the name uncultured Afipia sp. RNAcentral's name for it is "bacterial SSU rRNA". It matches the Rfam family "Bacterial small subunit ribosomal RNA", at positions 1 to 703 of the family's 1533-position model. The record is from RNAcentral. Lineage: Bacteria; Pseudomonadati; Pseudomonadota; Alphaproteobacteria; Hyphomicrobiales; Nitrobacteraceae.
AGCGGAUCCGCGGCCGCAGAGUUUGAUCCUGGCUCAGAGCGAACGCUGGCGGCAGGCUUAACACAUGCAAGUCGAACGGGCGUAGCAAUACGUCAGUGGCAGACGGGUGAGUAUCGCGUGGGAACGUACCUUUUGGUUCGGAACAACACAGGGAAACUUGUGCUAAUACCGAAUAAGCCCUUACGGGGAAAGAUUUAUCGCCGAAAGAUCGGCCCGCGUCUGAUUAGCUUGUUGGUGAGGUAACGGCUCACCAAGGCGACGAUCAGUAGCUGGUCUGAGAGGAUGAUCAGCCACAUUGGGACUGAGACACGGCCCAAACUCCUACGGGAGGCAGCAGUGGGGAAUAUUGGACAAUGGGCGAAAGCCUGAUCCAGCCAUGCCGCGUGAGUGAUGAAGGCCCUAGGGUUGUAAAGCUCUUUUGUGCGGGAAGAUAAUGACGGUACCGCAAGAAUAAGCCCCGGCUAACUUCGUGCCAGCAGCCGCGGUAAUACGAAGGGGGCUAGCGUUGCUCGGAAUCACUGGGCGUAAAGGGUGCGUACGCGGAUCUUUAAGUCAGAGGUGAAAGCCUGGAGCUCAACUCCAGAACUGCCUUUGAUACUGAUGAUCUCGAGUUCGGGAGAGUGAGUGGAACUGCGAGUGUAGAGGUGAAAUUCGUAGAUAUUCGCAA